Molecule: non-coding RNA, 631 nt
Organism: Oncorhynchus mykiss (rainbow trout)
Lineage: Eukaryota; Metazoa; Chordata; Actinopteri; Salmoniformes; Salmonidae
Source: RefSeq, a predicted model, not a curated record
UGGUUCUACAUACAGUACCUGUAUUGAUAGUCCAUACUGGUCUUUACUAUGGUUCUACAUACAGUAUCUGUAUUGAUAGUCCAUACUGGUCUUUACUAUGGUUCUACAUACAGUAUCUGUAUUGAUGAGGGCCUCAUCAUCUGACUGCACAAAGAAAGCCAGGGACUGCAGUGUGUUCCAGUCUCCAGCAGGGGGCAGUAGAAUCAUAUGGACCUGAAAGAGACUGCAGUGUGCUCCAGUCUCCAGCAGGGGGCAGUAAAACCCUAUGGACCUGAAAGAGACUGCAGUGUGCUCCAGUCUCCAGCAGGGGGCAGUAAAACCCUAUGGACCUGAAAGGGACUGCAGUGUGCUCCAGUCUCCAGCAGGGGGCAGUAAAACCCUAUGGACCUGAAAAGGAAAGUGAGGAGUAAAAAUCAAAGGUAAAGGUGUGUCAAAUGGAAGGGCAAGUCUCACCACUGAGAGGAAAACAUCACUGGUCCACCUCUGCAUCAGGUCAGCUAUGUUGAUCAGUACUGUCCCAGGGAUGCUGGGAGCAGAGAUGAACUCCCCUGACCUGGUACCACCUAUGGAGUUGUCAUUUUAAUAUCAGUUUAACCCCAUUACUGCUAUAACACAUAAACCAUGUUAAUAG